Molecule: ribosomal RNA, 304 nt
Filed under: uncultured fungus
Lineage: Eukaryota; Fungi
Description: eukaryotic LSU rRNA
Rfam family: 5.8S ribosomal RNA (bases 1-52)
Source: RNAcentral
AACGCACCUUGCACUCCCUGGUAUUCCGGGGAGUAUGUCUGUUUGAGUGUCAUGAACUCUUCAACCUAUCUAUUCUUUGAAUAGUGUAGUGCUUGGAUUUUGAGUGUUGCUGGCUUUGGUCAGCUCACUUGUAAUACAUUAGCAUCUCUUAAUUGAGAAUUGGAUCGACUCAGUGUAAUAGACUAUUCGCUGAGGACACUAGUCUCUAGUGGCCAUUUCUCAAUUGUCAUAGAAGCUUCUAACUCAUAGUAGUCAACUUCUUAAUUUAGACCUCAGAUCAGAUAGGAUUACCCGCUGAACUUAA